CACGUAGGGUGCGAGCGUUGUCCGGAAUUAUUGGGCGUAAAGAGCUCGUAGGCGGUGUGUCGCGUCGGCCGUGAAAACCUGCAGCUUAACUGUGGGCUUGCGGUCGAUACGGGCAUCACUGGAGUUCGGCAGGGGAGACUGGAAUUCCUGGUGUAGCAGUGAAAUGCGUAGAUAUCAGGAGGAAUACCGAUGGCGAAGGCAGAUCUCUGGGCCGUAACUGACGCUGAGGAGCGAAAGCGUGGGGAGCGAACAGG
This 254-nucleotide ribosomal RNA is filed under the name uncultured bacterium. RNAcentral describes it as "partial 16S ribosomal RNA". It matches the Rfam family "Bacterial small subunit ribosomal RNA", at positions 524 to 776 of the family's 1533-position model. The record is from RNAcentral.